GACGAACGCUGGCGGCGUGCUUAACACAUGCAAGUCGAACGGAAAGGCCCUGCUUUUGUGGGGUGCUCGAGUGGUGAACGGGUGAGUAACACGUGAGUAACCUGCCCUUGACUUUGGGAUAACUUCAGGAAACUGGGGCUAAUACCGGAUAGGAGCUCCCGCUGCAUGGUGGGGGUUGGAAAGUUUCGGCGGUUGGGGAUGGACUCGCGGCUUAUCAGCUUGUUGGUGGGGUAGUGGCUUACCAAGGCUUUGACGGGUAGCCGGCCUGAGAGGGUGACCGGCCACAUUGGGACUGAGAUACGGCCCAGACUCCUACGGGAGGCAGCAGUGGGGAAUAUUGCACAAUGGGCGGAAGCCUGAUGCAGCAACGCCGCGUGCGGGAUGACGGCCUUCGGGUUGUAAACCGCUUUCGCCUGUGACGAAGCGUGAGUGACGGUAAUGGGUAAAGAAGCACCGGCUAACUACGUG
Molecule: ribosomal RNA, 468 nt
Filed under: uncultured bacterium
Lineage: Bacteria
Description: partial 16S ribosomal RNA
Rfam family: Bacterial small subunit ribosomal RNA
Source: RNAcentral